This 253-nucleotide ribosomal RNA is filed under the name uncultured bacterium. RNAcentral describes it as "partial 16S ribosomal RNA". It matches the Rfam family "Bacterial small subunit ribosomal RNA", at positions 524 to 776 of the family's 1533-position model. The record is from RNAcentral.
GACGGGGGGGGCAAGUGUCCUUCGGAAUGACUGGGCGUAAAGGGCGCGUAGGCGGUUUGUCGCGUCGGGAGUGAAAUCCACUGGCUUAACUGGUGGCUUGCUUUCGAUACGGGCAGACUGGAGGUAUGCAGGGGAGAACGGAAUUCCUGGUGUAGCGGUGAAAUGCGCAGAUAUCAGGAGGAACACCGGUGGCGAAGGCGGUUCUCUGGGCAUGUCCUGACGCUGAGGAGCGAAAGUGUGGGGAGCGAACAGG